Molecule: long non-coding RNA, 1042 nt
Organism: Gorilla gorilla gorilla (western lowland gorilla)
Lineage: Eukaryota; Metazoa; Chordata; Mammalia; Primates; Hominidae
Exons: 4
Source: RefSeq, a predicted model, not a curated record
ACACACAGUAAGUCUCAGGUGCGAUAGUGGAGAAGAGGAUGGGCUCUAGAGCCAAGAAUGGGUUUGGAUCCUGGCCCUGCCACUUAAAAGUUGUAUAACCCUAGCGUCAGUUUUGCCUUUUGAUGUAAGUCAUCGUCUCUGGACAUGAGAACGGGAGGCCUCACUUCCACAUCCUCCUCCAAAUGAAUGCACUCUAAACAAACAUUGAUGCGCCUCUCAAGGUUGGCAUUGCAUCUGGACCAGUGCCAGGAAGCCACAAGGCCACCAGAGGCAGAGGGGAAGAGCAAGGGCGGAAGAAUAGAAGUCAAGCAGCAGCAGAUGGAAUGUGUGCACGGUCAGGUGGAGGCAAGCUGCUCCUGACAGGUGCAAGAACUGACUGUGUGUGUACUUUGCUUCUCAAUGCUGUGCACAGACACGUGCAGCAAGAACCAUCUCAGAGGGUCACAAGCCCCCUAGAUUUUACCCACAGAAGAUGGGAGAAAAAAGAACCUGUGAUGAAUGAAGAAAGCUGGGGAAAAUGAGGGAAGGCAGGAGGAACCUGCCAGAAACAAGCCAAGUCCCACCAACAUGGAAAUCAGAUCACAAAUGAUUUAGCUGUAAAACAGCAGAAUCCAGUGCAUUGGAGGGAACCCUGGACAUACGCUGAACAAUAAGGAGAGCCAGCUGCCCAAUAUCUGCAAGGAGAUUGUUCACAGCCAAUACCAAGGAGAGUACUAAACACUGAGAUAGAUUUUGCUGCUGCUAAGGCAAACUAUUAUAAUCUUGAACUACAAAAAGCGUGGGAGGAUGUGGUCAGACAAGUUCCAGCCCUUCCCCUUCCCCCACCAUGCCAGUUCACAAUUUUAAUUCCCAGGAGAAUCACAACUGAAGCAGACUACCCAGCUGAAAAGAGAGACGUGCACCCUCCAUUGUGUCCAAUAGCCGAGGACAUACAGGCAAGCUAACGAGAUGCAAAUCCCAUUCAAUAUGGCUAAUGCUUUUUUUAUCCCUAACCAAAGACCUAGAAAACUCAUUCAAUUUGGUGGUUUUCUAAUAUAGCUUC